RNAcentral lists this ribosomal RNA (438 nucleotides) under Triticum aestivum (bread wheat). Its description in RNAcentral is "partial small subunit ribosomal RNA". The record is from RNAcentral. Lineage: Eukaryota; Viridiplantae; Streptophyta; Magnoliopsida; Poales; Poaceae.
AUGGCCGGGGGUAGGAAUCCUGAGAAGAAGAACACGGACAGACGGAGCUGCUCCAUGGCGUCGAGGCAGGGGAGGAAGCGACCAUCGUCCAUGGCGUCCCGGUGCUCGAGCAAGGACGGCAUCCUGGAUCUAGGAGGCAGAGAUGAUGGAUUGAGGAAGUUAGGAACGGCUGUGAGGAGGAGAUCGAGUAGAUGGACGCACCUGAGUCAUCGGAGCCACGCCGACCGAAACCCUAGCGACGGGAGCCAGUCGCGGUUGGCGCUGGAGGACGCGCGUGAUGGAUCUCGACAGGGAACGCCAGCCUCCCAAAGACCCGCCGGUAGAGAGCGCCUACUCGAUCUAGAGGGAGGGAGUGGGGGUGGGGGCAGCUGCGCCUGCUCGAUCCAGAGGCAGGUAGGUGGGAAGGAGGGAUUACUGCUGGAUCUGGCCACAAGAUGA